RNAcentral lists this long non-coding RNA (298 nucleotides) under Apteryx rowi (Okarito brown kiwi). RNAcentral's name for it is "lncRNA (ENSARWG00000013459.1)". Lineage: Eukaryota; Metazoa; Chordata; Aves; Apterygiformes; Apterygidae. The record is from RNAcentral.
CGUCCACUCACAUUGUGAGGAAAGAAAGGUCCCACUGUCCUUAGGACGGUCCUAGCAAUGCAGCAUCUGCCCUGGAUGUUUCUAUCAAAAAAAUUGGCUUGGACAAAACGGUGCACCCCUGCUCUACACAUUUCAAUAGGAGGGGCUUUCAAACGAAUACAUCAAAAAAGACAAUGCCAGAAUCUAUGAACUGCUUAGACAAAAGACUCUUCAAAAUUAGCCUUCCAUGAAAGCAAUUGUUCCAUCAUCAUCUUAAUAUGAGCCAAGAGGUAAGUAUAUCAUUCUUAUGUGAAGUUGC